This 374-nucleotide ribosomal RNA is filed under the name Xystreurys liolepis. RNAcentral describes it as "partial 12S ribosomal RNA". It matches the Rfam family "Bacterial small subunit ribosomal RNA", at positions 962 to 1533 of the family's 1533-position model. The record is from RNAcentral. Lineage: Eukaryota; Metazoa; Chordata; Actinopteri; Pleuronectiformes; Paralichthyidae.
CGUUCAACCUCACCCUUCCUUGCCUUACCCGCCUAUAUACCACCGUCGUCAGCCUACCCUGUGAAGGAUCAAUAGCAAGCACAAUUGGCAAAGCCCAAAACGUCAGGUCGAGGUGUAGUGAAUGAGAGGGGAAGAAAUGGGCUACAUUUGCUAGAUAUAGCAAAUACGAAUGAUGCAUUGAAACAUGCAACUGAAGGAGGAUUUAGUAGUAAGCAGGAAAUAGAGCGUUCCGCUGAAAUUGGCCCUAAAGCGCGCACACACCGCCCGUCACCCUCCCCGAGCCCCUAAACUUGAAAUUAGAUAAAAAUUACUACCCGCGAAGGGGAGGAAAGUCGUAACAUGGUAAGUGUACCGGAAGGUGUACUUGGAAAAAU